UCGAGUUGUUUGGGAAUGCAGCUCUAAGUGGGUGGUAAAUUCCAUCUAAAGCUAAAUAUUGGCGAGAGACCGAUAGCGAACAAGUACAGUGAUGGAAAGAUGAAAAGAACUUUGAAAAGAGAGUGAAAAAGUACGUGAAAUUGUUGAAAGGGAAGGGUUUGAGAUCAGACUCCAUAUUUUGUGAGCCUUGCCUUCGUGGCGGGGUGACCCGCA
Molecule: ribosomal RNA, 213 nt
Filed under: uncultured Saccharomycetaceae
Lineage: Eukaryota; Fungi; Ascomycota; Saccharomycetes; Saccharomycetales; Saccharomycetaceae
Description: partial 26S ribosomal RNA
Rfam family: Eukaryotic large subunit ribosomal RNA
Source: RNAcentral